GUGGGGGCGAGUGAAAGUGGUUUUGGGGGCAGUUCGUGCGAGUCGGCCCCCCACGUUGAGAAUGCCCUGAAGUUUGUCUCCUGGUCAAGUUCAAUAGCGACUGUCUGGCUAUGUCUGGAAGCCCAGUGAUUUGCAUUGCUUGAAACUGGGUGUUCGGCUAAGUCCCCUCGGCACCCCCACCUCACCCUCCCGACCGUGGGAGAAAGGGUGCGGGCGUUCGCAUCUUUGCCUCGGAAAGGUUUCUUACAGGAGGUGGAUUUAGGGGGCAACUCGCGUCUAGUUGUGAACGAGCGUUUAGGGAAUCCGAAACUCGGGGAACCCUGGUGAUAGUCUACUCCCCGCCCCCGCACAACAUGCAUAGACACACUGCACAUCACAUGUACACACAAACACACACACGCACACGCCACUCCUCCCGCCCCGAUUUGCUUCCGGGAAAACAAGUCCGAGAGCAGCAGACACUUGCCAAAAGUCACGCAGCGAUUGUGAUUGCACCUGCUGUACAUCAUCGGAUCCUCAGAGUGGUUGUCUGAGCAAGAUUCCUAUCAGAACCGCUUUUACUGCCUCCCCCGGCGACGUUCCCGGCCCGCCAACGUUUCUUUCGUCCUUACAAGGCCAGCUUCCACCCGCUGCUUUUGUGUAAAUAAAGCCUGGCCUUCUGCCUGCAGGUUGCCGCCAGAAGCCGGCCGGUGGGGGAAGGGUUCGGAACCGGUACGACCGCCUCAGCCGCGCCGGGAGAGGCCGAGAGUCCGCCACGCUCAGCCGUCGCGCGGGGGCGGUACUCCGGGCCCCCCAGGAUGAGCCGAGCCGAGAAACCCAGCACGAGAAAGUCCCCACCCACCUGCACCCUCUUCCGUGGGUCACCCCGCGCGUGGCAGGCCCUUGACAAAUAUCGUCCUGAAUUCUCCCCGCGAUCCUGGGAGUAUCCUCCCCAUUUUAUAGACGAGAGACUGAGGCUUACCAAGUGUAAGGGGCUUGACCGAGGUCCCAUAGGCGAAAAAAGUGGCAAACCAAGAACUUCUAACCGAAUAUAUCUGGCUGCAAAAUCCAGUCUUCUCCCAUCCCGCCGGUCACCAGUGAGACUGUAAAGGUCUUAAAGGAGAAGAAUAAAAAAAAAAAUAACCACACGAAUCAGAUUAACAGAUCGUAAGGAAUUGAAAGGGCCUUCCAGAGCUGCUGGUAUUUCAAACAAGUGGACUCGAACCACAGGAUAAGUAACAAACUACUUUUCCUGGGUGACCAAUCAUACUUUUUUUUUAAUUAAAAAUAUAUUUAUUAAAAUAGAUUACGAUGGAGAAGAAUAUAAUUUUCAAAAUAAUGAUAGCUGAAAACAGAAGACUUAAAAGAAAUGUCAGGCUGUUUCCACCUCGCACACCUUUCGUUCGAUUGCACACACAUUCUUGACAUCAAGUACAUAAACAGGCAAACUGAGGCCCGAAACCAGUCCCACUGAGAGCGAGAGGCCGAGUGGGAGGAGAACCGAGAUUUCCGGGCUCUCGGCCUGGGGUGCUUUCGGCUGGGGGCGGGGGUCCUGUUUGUAAACAGGUGUCCUCGGACAGCCACUGCCGAUUUUUGUCACUCUGCCAACCGGAGGGACGAUUCUGAGUAAUCGCUAGCAGUCAGCGCAGCUGGGGCUAAAAGCGAAAGGGACGCGCGCGCGACGGGCCCGGGAGGGCGACGGGUAAAGCGCGCAGGCGGGGCCGCCGCCGGGUUCCCGCGGGGCGACCGUGCGGUAGGCCUCCUCCCGGACCGCUCUCGACGGCCCCGCCCCGCGCAGGCGGCGGGCGCUGCAGGCCCCGCCCCUGCUCCCAGCCCAGGGGACCCAUCCCGGACCUGAGAAUCCCGGUCCCAAACCCCUCCUCCCAAAAGGGGCUAAAAGGUGCAGGGGGCUUUUGACCAGCCCGUCCAGCUUCAGGUCCUGGGACCGGCGGCCCUGUCCUUGCGCGUGGGAACAGUCAGGUACUUAGGCUUGACCUUAAAUCCGCCCCUGGUAUUUGCUAACACUAAGGUCUUAAGAAAAUGACUUAAACUCUCUCUCUCUCAGUUUCUGCAUCUGUAAAAUGGGAGUUAGCGAGUCUUACCUCAUGUAAUUGCUGUGAGAAGUAAAUGUGUACCUAGCUGUGAAGGUCUAGAACAUUAAAAAGAAAAAAACAAUUAAAUGCUGUUUUACUGUUAUUGCUAGGCGGGCCUGGGUGGGACUCUCAGGCCAAUUCAGAACUGGAUGACCUGGGCAGAUGGACUUUCUUAGUUCCCCCACCUGGAAAAGACAGCUUCAUUACAAUUACCAUCACAGGGUGGGGAUGAGGACAGACGGCCUCCCCAGCAUCUGGCAAGACCACACGUGGUUAUGUUUGCAACUCUUAUUAUUUGCCAUCAUUGUCUUAAGCAUUUUGCACUUAUUAGUGCCUUUCAUCCUACACAAUUACAGUAUGACAGAGAUAUUACUAUUUUCCAUUUCACAAAUAGGAAACUGAGAC
This is a long non-coding RNA of Bos taurus (domestic cattle), 2477 nucleotides long. The record is from Ensembl. NCBI's taxonomy places the organism in Eukaryota, Metazoa, Chordata, Mammalia, Artiodactyla, Bovidae.